UGGGGAAUCUUAGACAAUGGGGGAAACCCUGAUCUAGCCAUGCCGCGUGAGUGACGAAGGCCCUAGGGUCGUAAAGCUCUUUCGCCAGGGAAGAUAAUGACGGUACCUGGUAAAGAAACCCCGGCUAACUCCGUGCUAGCAGCCGCGGUAAUACGGAGGGGGUUAGCGUUGUUCGGAAUUACUGGGCGUAAAGCGCACGUAGGCGGACCAGUCAGUCAGAGGUGAAAUCCCAGGGCUCAACCUUGGAACUGCCUUUGAUACUGCUGGUCUGGAGUCCGAGAGAGGUGAGUGGAAUUCCGAGUGUAGAGGUGAAGUUCGUAGAUAUUGGGAAGAACACCAGUGGCGAAGGCGGCUCACUGGACCGGAACUGACGCUGAGGUGCGAAAGCGUGGGGAGCAAACAGGAUUAGAUACCCCGGUAGUCC
This 424-nucleotide ribosomal RNA is filed under the name uncultured prokaryote. RNAcentral's name for it is "bacterial SSU rRNA". It matches the Rfam family "Bacterial small subunit ribosomal RNA", at positions 355 to 796 of the family's 1533-position model. The record is from RNAcentral.